RNAcentral lists this ribosomal RNA (516 nucleotides) under uncultured bacterium. RNAcentral's name for it is "bacterial SSU rRNA". It matches the Rfam family "Bacterial small subunit ribosomal RNA", at positions 33 to 518 of the family's 1533-position model. The record is from RNAcentral.
ACGCUGGCGGCGUGCCUAAUACAUGCAAGUCGAACGGCUUUUCUAUGGAAGCUUGCUUCCACUGAAAAGAUAGUGGCGAACGGGUGAGGUAACACGUGGGGUAACCUGCCCAUAAGAGGGGGGAUAACAUCCGGAAACGGGUGCUAAUACCGCAUAGUUUUCUUGAUCGCAUGAUCGGGAAAGGAAAGACGGCCUUUGUGCUGUCGCUUAUGGAUGGACCCGCGGCGUAUUAGUUAGUUGGUGAGGUAACGGCUCACCAAGACGAUGAUACGUAGCCGACCUGAGAGGGUGAUCGGCCACAUUGGGACUGAGACACGGCCCAAACUCCUACGGGAGGCGAGCAGUAGGGAAUCUUCCGCAAUGGACGAAAGUCUGACGGAGCAACGCCGCGUGAGUGAAAGAAGGUUUUCGGAUCGUAAAACUCUGUUGUCAGAGAAGAACAAGUUGGAGAGUAACUGCUCCAGCCUUGACGGUAUCUGACCAGAAAGCCACGGCUAACUACGUGCCAGCCGCCGC